RNAcentral lists this ribosomal RNA (838 nucleotides) under uncultured soil bacterium. Its description in RNAcentral is "bacterial SSU rRNA". It matches the Rfam family "Bacterial small subunit ribosomal RNA", at positions 667 to 1501 of the family's 1533-position model. The record is from RNAcentral.
UUCUCGGUGUAGCGGUGAAUUGAGUAGAUAUCGGGAGGAACUACCUGUGGCGAAAGCGGCGCACUGGACUAUAACUGACGCUGAGGCGCGAAAGCUAGGGGAGCAAACAGGAUUAGAUACCCUGGUAGUCCUAGCCCUAAACGAUGAUUGCUUGGUGUAGCAGGUACCCAAUCAUGCUGUGCCGCAGCUAACGCGAUAAGCAAUCCGCUUGGGGAGUACGGUCGCAAGGUUGAAACUCAAAGGAAUUGACGGGGGCCCGCACAAGCGGUGGAGCAUGUGGUUCAAUUCGACGCAACGCGAAGAACCUUACCUGGGCUCGAAGCGCAGUGGACCGGGGUAGAAAUAUCCCUUCCCCUUAAAAGGCUGCUGCGGAGGUGCUGCAUGGCUGUCGUCAGCUCGUGUCGUGAGAUGUUGGGUUAAGUCCCGCAACGAGCGCAACCCUUAUCCCUAGUUGCCAUCGGGUCAAGCCGGGCACUCUAGUGAAACUGCCUCGGAUAACGAGGAGGAAGGUGGGGAUGACGUCAAGUCCUCAUGGCCUUUAUGUCCAGGGCUACACACGUGCUACAAUGGUCGGUACAAACCGUCGCAAACCCGUGAGGGGGAGCUAAUCGGAAAAAGCCGGCCUCAGUUCGGAUUGGAGUCUGCAACUCGACUCCAUGAAGCUGGAAUCGCUAGUAAUCGCGGAUCAGAACGCCGCGGUGAAUACGUUCCCGGGCCUUGUACACACCGCCCGUCACAUCACGAAAGUGGGCCGUACUAGAAGCCGGUGUGCUAACCGCAAGGAGGCAGCCGUCCAAGGUACAGCUCAUGAUUGGGGUGAAGUCGUAACAAGGUAACC